Molecule: ribosomal RNA, 884 nt
Filed under: uncultured bacterium
Lineage: Bacteria
Description: bacterial SSU rRNA
Rfam family: Bacterial small subunit ribosomal RNA
Source: RNAcentral
AGAGUUUGAUCCUGGCUCAGGACGAACGCUGGCGGCGUGCCUAAUACAUGCAAGUCGAGCGGAGGUUCUUCUUCGGAAGAGCUUCAGCGGCGGACGGGUGAGUAACACGUGAGUAACCUGGCUUAGGGCGGGGGAUAUCGGACCGAAAGGGCCGGCAAUCCCGCAUACGUCCGCGUCGGCUUGAGCCGAGGCGGAGAAAGAGACACUGUCUCACCCUAAGGGGGGCUCGCGGCCCAUUAGCUAGUUGGUAGGGUAAUAGCCUCCCAAGGCGACGAUGGGUAGCCGGCCUGAGAGGGUGAUCGGCCACACUGGGACUGAGACACGGCCCAGACUCCUACGGGAGGCAGCAGUAGGGAAUCUUCCACAAUGGGCGCAAGCCUGAUGGAGCAACGCCGCGUGAGUGAAGACGGCCUUCGGGUUGUAAAGCUCUGUCUGUCGGGAUGAAGCGGCACGGGGAGACCGUGCCGUCGCCGGUACCGACGGAGGAAGCCCCUGCAAACUACGUGCCAGCAGCCGCGGUAAGACGUAGGGGGCAAGCGUUGUCCGGAAUUACUGGGCGUAAAGGGCGUGUAGGCGGUACGACACGUAGCGGGUUUUAAGCCUCCGGCUCACCCGGGAGGAGGGCGGCUAAACGGUCGCACUGGAGGGCAGGAGAAGUACAUGGGAAAUUCCCUAGUGGAGCGGUGAAAUGCGUAGAGAUUAGGGAAGAACACCAGUGGCGAAGGCGAUGCACUGGGCCUGACCCUGACGCUGAGGCGCGACAGCGGUGGAGUGAAACGGCAUUAGAAUACCCCGGUAGUCCACGCCGGUAAACGAUGCGCUUACUUAGGUGUCGCGGGGGGAUCCACUCGGGGGUGGCCGAGCCUAACGCACUAGGUUAAUCU